GACGGGACCCGCACAAGCGGUGGAUGAUGUGGUUUAAUUCGAUGCAACGCGAAAACCUUACCCACCUUUGACAUGUACGGAAUCCUUUAGAGAUAGAGGAGUGCUCGAAAGAGAGCCGUAACACAGGUGCUGCAUGGCUGUCGUCAGCUCGUGUCGUGAGAUGUUGGGUUAAGUCCCGCAACGAGCGCAACCCUUGUCAUUAGUUGCUACGAAAGGGCACUCUAAUGAGACUGCCGGUGACAAACCGGAGGAAAGGUGGGGAUGACGUCAAGUCCUCAUGGCCCUUAUAGGUGGGGCUACACACGUCAUACAAUGGCUGGUACAAAGGGUUGCCAACCCGCGAGGGGGAGCCAAUCCCAUAAAGCCAGUCGUAGUCCGGAUCGCAGUCUGCAACUCGACUGCGUGAAGUCGGAAUCGCUAGUAAUCGUGGAUCAGCAUGUCACGGUGAAUACGUUCCCGGGUCUU
Molecule: ribosomal RNA, 465 nt
Filed under: uncultured Comamonas sp.
Lineage: Bacteria; Pseudomonadati; Pseudomonadota; Betaproteobacteria; Burkholderiales; Comamonadaceae
Description: bacterial SSU rRNA
Rfam family: Bacterial small subunit ribosomal RNA
Source: RNAcentral